RNAcentral lists this ribosomal RNA (815 nucleotides) under Ettlia oleoabundans. RNAcentral describes it as "LSU rRNA". It matches the Rfam family "Eukaryotic large subunit ribosomal RNA", at positions 51 to 901 of the family's 3401-position model. The record is from RNAcentral. Lineage: Eukaryota; Viridiplantae; Chlorophyta; Chlorophyceae; Chlamydomonadales.
CGGAGGGAAAAGAAACUAACAAGGAUGCGCUAGUAACGGCGAGCGAACCGCGCAAAGCCCAACUUGAAAAUCUCCCUUGGAGAAUUGUAGUCUAUAGAAGUACCCUCUGUAACGGGCGCAGCUCAAGUCUCCUGGAAAGGGGCGUCAGAGAGGGUGAGAACCCCGUAAGCUGUUGCUUUGUUACCUCACGAGGUGCUUUCAAAGAGUCGGGUUGCUUGGGAAUGCAGCCCAAAUUUGGUGGUAAAUCCCAUCUAAGGCUAAAUACUGGCGAGAGACCGAUAGCGAACAAGUACCGUGAGGGAAAGAUGAAAAGAACUUUGAAAAGAGAGUUAAAAAGUGCUUGAAAUUGUUGAGGGGGAAGCGUUUGAAUGCUAGGGUGCGCCUAGGCUUAUGGGUUCUUAACGGAGCUCUGUAUGUGCUAGGUGCUGGCCAGCAUGGGUUAAGCGAGCGGGAUAAACGCUGGGAUUGAUACCCGGUCUAUGCCGCUUGCUUGACCAAGGCGUGAAGACUGCCCUUGUCCUUCGGGAACUGCAGUCUCAAGAUGCUGGCAAAAGGCUUUCAACCGACCCGUCUUGAAACACGGACCAAGGAGUCUAACAUGUAUGCGAGUUGGUGGGUGGAAAACCCAUGAAGCGUAAGGAAACUGACUGGUGGGAUGGCCUGUGCCUGCACCAUCGACCGACCAUGCGUUUCUGCAAAAGGUUUGAGUGCGAGCAUACCUGUUGGGACCCGAAAGAUGGUGAACUAUGCCUGAGCAGGGUGAAGCCAGGUGAAAACCUGGUGGAGGCUCGUAGAUGUGCUGACGUGCAAAUCGC